GGGGAAGUGGCGGAAUUGGUAGACGCACUCAAUAUCAGAGCGAGUUCAGUGGAAAUCUGUAUGCGAGUAUUGUAGGACGCUUCAAGAAAGCAGACACCUCAUCCCGGUUCGAAUCCGGGCUUCUCCA
This 127-nucleotide transfer RNA is filed under the name Caudoviricetes sp. RNAcentral's name for it is "tRNA-OTHER". It matches the Rfam family "tRNA". From Rfam's summary of the family: Transfer RNA (tRNA) molecules are approximately 80 nucleotides in length. Their secondary structure includes four short double-helical elements and three loops (D, anti-codon, and T loops). Lineage: Duplodnaviria; Heunggongvirae; Uroviricota; Caudoviricetes. The record is from RNAcentral.